GAUGAACGCUGGCGGCGUGCCUAACACAUGCAAGUCGAACGGAAGGGCCCUGCUUUUGUGGGGUUCUCGAGUGCGGAACGCGGGAGUAUCACGUGUGUAACCUGCCCUUGACUUUCGGAUAACUUCAGGAAACUGGGGCUAAUAUCGGAUAGGAUCUCCUGCUCCAUGGUGGGCAUUGGAAAGUUUCGGCGGUUGGGGAUGGACUAGCGGCUUAUCAGCUUGUUGGUGGGGUAGGGGCUUACCAAGGCUUUGACGGGUAGCCGGCCUGGGAGGGUGACCGGCCACAAUGGGACUGAGAGACGGCGCAGACUGCUACGGGAGGCAGCAGUGGGGAACAUUGCACAAUGGGCGGAAGCCUGAGGCAGCAGCGCCGCGUUCGGAAUGCCGGCCUUCGGGGUGUAAACCGCUUUCGCCUGUGACGAAGCGUGAGUGACGGUAAUGGGUAAAGAAGCACCGGCUAACUACGUG
This 468-nucleotide ribosomal RNA is filed under the name uncultured bacterium. RNAcentral's name for it is "partial 16S ribosomal RNA". It matches the Rfam family "Bacterial small subunit ribosomal RNA", at positions 28 to 507 of the family's 1533-position model. The record is from RNAcentral.